RNAcentral lists this ribosomal RNA (744 nucleotides) under uncultured bacterium. RNAcentral describes it as "bacterial SSU rRNA". It matches the Rfam family "Bacterial small subunit ribosomal RNA", at positions 8 to 796 of the family's 1533-position model. The record is from RNAcentral.
AGAGUUUGAUCCUGGCUCAGAACGAACGCUGGCGGCAGGCCUCAAACAUGCAAGUCUAGGGGGUGUAGCAAUACAUCACCGGCGGACGGGUGCGUAACACGUGGGAAUAUACCUUUUGGUUCGGAACAACGCAGGGAAACUUGCGCUAAUACCGAAUGUGCCCUUACGGGGAAAGAUUUAUCGCCAAAGGAUUAGCCCGCGUCCGAUUAGCUAGUUGGUGAGGUAAUGGCUCACCAAGGCUCCGAUCGGUAGCUGUUCUGAGAGGAAGAUCAGCCACACUGGGACUGAGACACGGCCCAGACUCCUACGGGAGGCAGCAGUUGGGAAUCUUGGACAAUGGGGGAAACCCUGAUCCAGCCAUGCCGCGUGAGUGAUGAAGGCCUUCGGGUUGUAAAACUCUUUCGACGGGGACGAUAAUGACGGUACCCGUAGAAGAAGCUCCGGCUAACUUCGUGCCAGCAGCCGCGGUAAUACGAAGGGGGCUAGCGUUGUUCGGAAUUACUGGGCGUAAAGCGCGCGCAGGCGGUCUUUCAAGUCAGUGGUGAAAGCCCGGAGCUCAACUCCGGAAAUGCCAUUGAAACUGUAAGACUUGAGGAUGAGAGAGGUGAGUGGAAUUCCCAGUGUAGAGGUGAAAUUCGUAGAUAUUGGGAAGAACACCGGUGGCGAAGGCGGCUCACUGGCUCAUAUCUGACGCUCAGGCGCGACAGCGUGGGGAUCAAACAGGAUUAGAUACCCUAGUAGUCC